CUAGGAAGUGCUGUAGUUACUAAAACCAAAUGUGAUCUGUAGUGUGGACUUCCUGAUCCAGUUUCAUUUCAGUGGAAGAGAUAAGUACUUUAAAAAGUAGAGUCAGCACUCUGCAUCUCUUGAACAGUACAAGAUGUUUCAGUGGAAUAGGGAGGAAGUCACACUACUGCUUUAAGGCUUGCUUCUAGCUGUGACAAAGCUACAUUUUCUGUUUCACUAUACCCACAGUGCUAUUUAAUUUUCCAUAAAAGUCUCUGAAGCUUAUUCUAGUUGUUUUUAAAAGACAAAGAAAAAUCAAAAGAUAUGGCAAGGGAAAAAAUCUUUUUCUUCUGUUUUGCUUGAAUGUAAAUUGAGCAUAGGCUUCACUCCAUUGAGCUAGUGAUGGUUACUUCUUCAGAGAAUGGAAGACGUCCCAGGGAUGCUGUCACACUGCUGAUUUGCAGGUUUUUCAUAGAGCUGCCUCUGCCAAUUCAGUGUGUCCUUUUAGGGGAAUGUGAUGGGUAUGGGCCUUAGAAGUGGGAUCGUGAGACCAAGUAAGUCAUCUAAUAGAAGUCCUUGAUUUGUAAAAUUAUACAGUGGAGUAAAAGUAAAGGUGAGAUACAUUUUUAAGUACUUAGCAACCAGAGUUGAUGGAGUUUUGGAGGGCUUUAGUUAGACUCAUUCACCCUGAGCAUCAUGUAUUGUAUUGAUGAAUACGAAAUUACUCUAAGAACAUACACAGGCUCCAUGAUCUACUUAUACCAGUGACAUUCUAGUAUUGAGGAAGAAUUCCAUUUUAUUAUGAAGCCCAGAUUUUACUUUGCUCAAUGGAAUGCUUACUGUGGACUUAUAAAUAGUACUUGGGACUGAAGUGUCUCCUGCGUGGCUUUGAUGAUAUUUCUGAAAGGAAUAAAAUUGGAACAUUUCUAUAAACAUAGACAGAUUCUUCAGUAUCCUAAUAACAUACCCAAAUGCUUUUUCUGGGAGAGAACAGUCUUUUUGGCCAACAGCAGAAUUUUCCCUAUAAGAAAGCAUUGUAUUAUGCUGUGAAUUGGCAUUAAAACCUUUGGGAUGCCUUUGGAUUAUUAAGUUAAUGGAAAAUAUUUUAUAUUCUUUUUAUUAUUGUGUAUUAACAACAACAACAAAAAAGUAGGCAAAGAAAGGUCUGUAAAAUUUAGUUUCUCAAAAGUUUUGCACAGUGACUACAGCCAGCUGUGGGUCAGGCUUGGUACUCCAAAGCUUUUAUCAGAAGGUACCCUGAAGGGGCACACAUUCACCCAGUACACGUGCCCUGGUUAUUAGAAAUCUUGGCCCCUUGAGGUACAUUGCAGUGUGAAACGUAUUCCGGUAAGUUGAAAUUGACAUUGCUUAUUACUCAAAAUUCUUGACAGGAUUUUUAGCUUAUAACAUGAGAGGAAAUAAAAUUUGUCCCUCUCUCAUUUUUUAUUGACUGAGAAUACUACUAUGUGCCAGAAAGUAUUUUCCUCUCCCGUUUAUUUGUAUUCUUGCCAGGACAGUAUACGGUUUUUCCACCCCAGCUAAAUACUGGCUUUUGUAUGAAAUCAUUGGAGACAGAGUAUUUUAUAUGCCAGUUGAUUAGUCAACACAUGCAGUUGAUGUGGCUAGUACUAACAUGCAGCCAAAAACUAGACCUUUGGAAAGAAACCCAGGAGCCAGGUCAGUCAUCUUCAUAUAAUGCAUGUGAAAUACAUAGAUAAUACUGUUUUAAGAGACGGUGCAUAUUUUAAAGGUUGGCCUCAAGCUUCUGUAACAGUGUCAUAUCCCAUGACCUCUGUUGUCACAGCUACACCCUAACUCGGCAGGAAUUAUUGCUCCUUCAUUUGGGGAGGGACAAAAACCAAAACCUGGUGUUGUGACUCCUGUCCUAAUAGUUCUGAGGCAGGGCUAGUAAGAAGCACCAACCUGGAUCUAUGACUUGAGCAUUAUUAAACUUUGCAGAGAAGUUUUUUCCUUUCAUCAGGAUGACGCUAAUUAGUGGGUAGAUGAGAUUGUGGAGGAAUGGAUCCCCAUGGCCGUGAACACUGUGCACAUGUUUCGCGUGCUCCGAUCUGUCCAGCUGCCACUUCCCUUGCUGUAUGCUAUGCUUUCUGUCAGGCUGCAAAUUUGCACAUGUGAAAAAUUCCUCAGGAAGAGUUUGCACAUGCAUCACCUUGCAAUAUUGUGUACAGACCAGAUGAGGGAUUUGAAGGUUUUUAGCACAAAAGGAUAACUUCAGAGUGGUCUGUAUGUCUACUAGCAAAGGUAAUGGUGGUCUAGCAAACAAAAUUGGUUUCUGCGGUUAUAAAGUGAGCAGGAGCAUUUGUAUCAUAGUAUUUAAAUAACCCUGUUGCAGCAUCCUGUAAUCAGAAUAAAUAACCCUUCCAGAAUUUGUUUCAUUGAGGCUGCCCAUAUUUUAUUGAUUGUUCCCCCAUCUUAAUUGCAGAUAAUUAUUUCUGUGAUUACAUGGGAGAGGCAUUGCCCUUGAAGUCAAGUUCCCUUCCUUAAUAAGCAGCUAUUACUAAGCUAACUGAGCAUUGUUUUAUGAAUAUACACUAAUCUGAAAUAUGAAAGAACAGACUAAAAAGCAAACAAAAAAAUUCUGCAUUAGCUAUCUUGUCAUUGUUUGGAUGUUUUGACUUGAUUUUUUUAAUGGUGUGUGUCACUGAUCUUUUAGUUUGGAUGUUACGUUUACUUUAAUCCAAGUAUAGACCUCUUAAUGGGACUUUAAAAUCCAAGGUCAGAAUGUGAAUCCCUUGAUUGAUACCUGUAAGAGGGUUACAAGACCUUUUCGUGAUCAUUGUUUUCAGUAAGAUUGUGUAAAGUGAAGUCAAAAUGGAGCUUAGAAGAAGAGUUCGUGGAGAAAUGGCUGUCCUGUGAACCAUUAUUGCCCUAUUACAAUUGGCCUCACUUUCUGGCCACCAAAGUAUGUGACAGGAGUCCUUUCCAAGGGAAAUAAUUCUUCUGUCCCCUCAUUGAUGCCUCCUCCACUGUCUUGACACCCUACUUGGAAUCUCUUUCAAAGCUGAGUGGAACAAAUCCAUGUACUGUUUCAGCUUAUGUUGAUGGAGGGGCUGUGGGAGAAUUAAGAAAAUGAUAAGAGAUCCAUUCUUACAGGGCCCUGGUAUAUUAUUUUACUCCUGCUGGUUGGAAAUCAUCUUCAUCUUAGGUUGGACUGCAUUAUUUAGAAAAUAUUUAUAGAUUAUAAUUCUGGGAAAUUUAUAGGAUGACUCUGGGGUUAAUUCUGUGGUUUGGAAAAAAUAAAUAUUUUGUAUUCUCACAUGCCAUUUCAACGUUGUAACUAUGUACUGAAUGCAAUAAGAUUGUGAAGAAAUGAAGCCUCAUCCCUGGUGGUGCUUGUCGGUCAGAAGGUGUGGUAAGCUCAGAACAGUUGUUCUGUACAGCAGCUCUGUUAUUAGUCCAAGAAAAACCAAAAGGUGGAUGAAACAAUGAUUGGCACGGGAUAAGUAGCCACUGACUUUGGCUUUGACCUUUAACCUGUGGUGGAUUUUGAAUCCUCUAUUAGGGUGUAUAAUAUCACUCUUAACAUUGUGGUUUGUGAAAUAAAUCUUGUACAGAGAUUCUUG
This 3563-nucleotide long non-coding RNA is filed under the name Heterocephalus glaber (naked mole-rat). RNAcentral's name for it is "lncRNA (ENSHGLG00100050375.1)". The record is from RNAcentral. Lineage: Eukaryota; Metazoa; Chordata; Mammalia; Rodentia; Bathyergidae.